This 648-nucleotide ribosomal RNA is filed under the name uncultured bacterium. Its description in RNAcentral is "bacterial SSU rRNA". It matches the Rfam family "Bacterial small subunit ribosomal RNA", at positions 110 to 753 of the family's 1533-position model. The record is from RNAcentral.
GUAAUACUUAGGAAUCUACCUAUUAGUGGGGGACAACAUCUCGAAAGGGAUGCUAAUACCGCAUACGUCCUACGGGAGAAAGCAGGGGACCUUCGGGCCUUGCGCUAAUAGAUGAGCCUAAGUCGGAUUAGCUAGUUGGUGGGGUAAAGGCCUACCAAGGCGACGAUCUGUAGCGGGUCUGAGAGGAUGAUCCGCCACACUGGGACUGAGACACGGCCCAGACUCCUACGGGAGGCAGCAGUGGGGAAUAUUGGACAAUGGGGGGAACCCUGAUCCAGCCAUGCCGCGUGUGUGAAGAAGGCCUUUUGGUUGUAAAGCACUUUAAGCGAGGAGGAGGCUACCGAGAUUAAUACUCUUGGAUAGUGGACGUUACUCGCAGAAUAAGCACCGGCUAACUCUGUGCCAGCAGCCGCGGUAAUACAGAGGGUGCAAGCGUUAAUCGGAUUUACUGGGCGUAAAGCGCGCGUAGGUGGCCAAUUAAGUCAAAUGUGAAAUCCCCGAGCUUAACUUGGGAAUUGCAUUCGAUACUGGUUGGCUAGAGUAUGGGAGAGGAUGGUAGAAUUCCAGGUGUAGCGGUGAAAUGCGUAGAGAUCUGGAGGAAUACCGAUGGCGAAGGCAGCCAUCUGGCCUAAUACUGACACUGAGGUG